AUUUUCAAAUCUGAGCAAGCUGCACAUUAUUUCUUACUAUGCAGCCCGGUCACGAUUGUGACAGCAGAGUAUACCUAUCCUAGGGUACAUCUGUGAGACAGUA
This is a regulatory RNA element of Amphibacillus xylanus NBRC 15112, 103 nucleotides long. It matches the Rfam family "NiCo (Nickel/Cobalt) riboswitch aptamer". The record is from Rfam. Lineage: Bacteria; Bacillati; Bacillota; Bacilli; Caryophanales; Bacillaceae.